GGACUACUGGGGUAUCUAAUCCGUUUUGCUCCCCACGCUUUCGUGCCUCAAUGUCAGUAACAGAAUAGUUAACUGCCUUCGCCGUUAUUGGUGUUCUUCUAUAUAUCUACACAUUUUACCGCUCCACAUAGAGUUCCGUUAACCUCUCCUGCACUCGAGCCUAGCAGUAUUACCAGUUUCCACGAGGUUAGGCCUCGAUUUGCCACUGCCAACUUGCCAGGCCAUCUACGCACCCUUUACGCCCAAUAAUUCCGGAUAACGUUCGCCACCUACGUCUUACCGCGGCUGCUGGCAC
This 295-nucleotide ribosomal RNA is filed under the name uncultured bacterium. RNAcentral describes it as "partial 16S ribosomal RNA". The record is from RNAcentral.